UACAGAGGUGUCAAACGUUGUCCGGAAUUACUGGGCGUAAAGGGCGCGUAGGCGGCCUUAUAAGUCAGAUGUGAAAGCUCUGGGCUCAACCCAGGAAUUGCAUCUGAUACUGUAAGGCUUGAGUUCGGUAGAGGAGGGCGGAAUUCCAGGUGUAGCGGUGAAAUGCGCAGAUAUCGGGAAGAACACCCGUGGCGAAGGCGGCUCUCUGGGACGGUACUGACGCUGAGACGCGAAAGCGUGGGGAGCGAACAGG
RNAcentral lists this ribosomal RNA (253 nucleotides) under uncultured bacterium. Its description in RNAcentral is "partial 16S ribosomal RNA". It matches the Rfam family "Bacterial small subunit ribosomal RNA", at positions 524 to 776 of the family's 1533-position model. The record is from RNAcentral.